UAAUCAUCCAGAGCAGCCGAGGGACUGGCCCGUUGAAGCUGCGGCAACCUUCCGGCAGGAAAGGUGCCAACUCCAGCGUCACUUGCGGGUGACGGCAGAUGAUAU
This is a regulatory RNA element of Megasphaera micronuciformis F0359, 105 nucleotides long. It matches the Rfam family "SAM riboswitch aptamer (S box leader)". From Rfam's summary of the family: The SAM riboswitch is found upstream of a number of genes which code for proteins involved in methionine or cysteine biosynthesis in Gram-positive bacteria. The SAM riboswitch acts at the level of transcription termination control. NCBI's taxonomy places the organism in Bacteria, Bacillati, Bacillota, Negativicutes, Veillonellales, Veillonellaceae. The record is from Rfam.